This 407-nucleotide ribosomal RNA is filed under the name uncultured bacterium. Its description in RNAcentral is "partial 16S ribosomal RNA". It matches the Rfam family "Bacterial small subunit ribosomal RNA", at positions 30 to 526 of the family's 1533-position model. The record is from RNAcentral.
AUUGAACGCUGGCGGCAGGCCUAACACAUGCACGUCGCGCGGAGCGGCGGACGGGUGCGUAAUGCCUAGGCAUCUGCCUGGUAGUGGGGGUUAACGUCCGGAAACGGGCGCUAAUACCGCAUAAUAUCAGAUGAGCCUAGGUCGGAUUAGCUAGUUGGUGGGGUAAAGGCCUACCAAGGCGACGAUCCGUAACUGGUCUGAGAGGAUGAUCAGUCACAAUGGAACUGAGACACGGUAAAGACUCCUACGGGAGGCAGGAGUGGGGAAUAUUGGACAAUGGGCGAAAGCCUGAUCCAUCCAUGCCGCGUGUGUGAAGAAGGUCUGCGGAUUGUAAAGCACUUUAAGUUGGGAGGCGUUACCAACAGAAUAAGCACCGGCUAACUUCGUGCCAGCAGCCGCGGUAAUAC